ACUGCUCAGUUGGUAAAGCACAAAGCUCUUAACCUUGUGGACGUGGGUUCAAGCCCCAUGGAGAGUA
Triticum aestivum (bread wheat) is the source of this 67-nucleotide non-coding RNA. The record is from Rfam. Lineage: Eukaryota; Viridiplantae; Streptophyta; Magnoliopsida; Poales; Poaceae.